UCCUUAAGGGCCUGGCGCACAUAAGGUGUGACCUUUUCAUUCCCGUUGUUAUGGAGGGCCACAUCUGCCAGAGCCUGGAGUCUGCGAAGGCCGGGACCCGGUUCCCCGGCCCACAGUGGGGGUGUGCAAACCCGAGAGAACUGGGUUGCAAAUUCGUGAAGAAUCAGCAUCAUGUUUGGCAGCUGAGUAUUGGAGCCAGGAGCCUGCCAUGAGGUUUUGAGAACAGAGUGCUGUUUUAGAGCUGGCAGCAGCAUCUCAGCCCAAGAGAAGCCGAUGCAGCCUCAGUGUUCCUUUGCCUUGGGGGUUUCUGAGUGGUGGGGUUGUAAGCAGAUCCUGCCAGGCACCCAGAAGGAAACCUCAUCAGGACUCCCUCAGAAAGGCCCUGAAGAAUCCUGUGACCUUCAUCUAAAGUAGGUCAUGAGACCCCUGAGCUUAAAACGGAGUGAUCGGCUUUGGAGAAGUAAGGAGACAUGACGUGCCUGCCCUGGGGUGGGGACUAAACUUCGUGCCACUCCACGUGAAAGGGGGAGGCAUGACUCCACAGUUUCUGCAACAACAGAGCCGGGGAAAGGAGGACGCAGCAAGCGCUGAAUAUUAACCAGCAAAGGUAGAUGCUUCAAUAUCGAAACCACCGGGACCCGCAUGUGCAAAGCUACUUAAUGAGGGUGUAAUCAAACACAGUCUACCAGAAGGAAAUUAAUUAGAGUCCGGAGAGCAAGCAGGAAGCAGAACCAGGCUGCUCCCCCUCCUGGCUCUAGAACAUCACUGGCAGCCACUGCUAAGGGAGGGACAAGGCUGGGGGAUGCCAGGCCUCAGCUGGGUGCCAGGGCUCCUGUCCUCUUCCCCGUGACAUUCCGGCUUGCCUUUGGGGGACACCCAGGGGAGGGAAGGGAAAUGUCAGGUGCUGUUAGGGAAACACAGCCUGAGGAAGCCCCCAGGGAGAGAAGCUGGGACAUCCCAGAGUUAAGGAGCUGGGCACAGAGAAGACUUGCUUCUCUAGGAAGACAAUGGUCUCAUAAGAAGAAGGACGGAAUCAUAAACAACAGAAAUGUAUUCUCUCAUAGUUUUGGAGACCAGAAAUCUGAAAUCAGGGUGUUGGCAGAGCUGCACUCCCUCUAGAGAUUCUAGGGGGAGACUUCAUUCUUUCCCCAUGUGCGACAAGGAAGGGAGGGAUGCCAGGCACAGACCUAUGCACCUAAUGAGAGAAACAGAUACAGGAUGCAGUGGGAUGAAUGGUGGCCCCCAAAAGACAUGCCCAUGCGCUUGUGCCCAGAAACUGUGAAUGUGACCUCAUUUGGAAAAAGGGUCUUCACACACAGAUUACCUUCAGGACCCUGAGAUGAGAUGAUCCUGGUUUAUCCAGGUGGGCCCUGAAUCCAAAACAAGUGUUCUUACAAGAGACACAGAGAAGGCAGCAAUGUGAAGGUGGAGGCAGAGAAGGGAGUGAUGCGGCCACAACCACCAGAAGCUGGAAGGGAGAAAGAGUGAAAUCUCCCCUGGAAUCUCUGGAUGGACACGGCCCUGCCGACACUCUCAUCUCAGACUUCUGGCCUCCAAACCAUGAGAGAAUAUGUUUCGGUUGGUCCAAGUCACUCAGCCAGUGGUCAUUGGUUACGGCAGCCCCAGGAAAUGAAUGCACCAGAUUGGAUCAGGACAGAGGUGGCAUUUUUCCCAGGGGCACACCAGGCAAAAGGGAGAAGAGAUCAAGGCAAGUGGCCGGGACCCCUCCCUUCUUCCACAGCUGCAGACCUCAGCCAAGAGCACAGCUGUGGGCAACCAAGGACGUUAUUGCCAGAAAUCAACUUGCUGUCUCCACCAGCCCUGAAGCCUCUGUGGGUACACUCUCCUUUGCUGUCUGCUCCCAGGGGCAGGGCUGUACUAGUCAGAAAUGCUUCCUAUAGGAUCCCCAAGGUGGUUCUCAGCUCAACAUGGGAAAGAACCUUUAAAAACAGGUGAUGAAGGAAAUGCUGACACUGUCCACGACAAGGAUGAGGCUUGAAGACUCCACUAAGAGAAAUAAGCUCGGAACGAGAGGACAAAUACCGCAUGAGGCCACUUACGUGAGGGACCAAGAGUAUCUAAUCAUUCAAAGUACUCAAAUUCACAGAGACAGAGGGUAAAAUGGCAGUUGCUGGGACUGGGGAAGGGGGAAUUCGUGUUGGGUGGGGACAGGGUUUCAGUUUGAGGAAGAUGAAAGAGUUCUGGAGAUGGAAGGUGGUAAUGGUUGCACAGCAAUAUGAAUGUGCUUAAUGCCACUGAACUGUGCACCUAAAAUGGUUAAAACGGUAUUUUAUAUUUGUAUAUUUUAUCGUAAUAAAAAAAUAGUGCUGAGCUCACUGUCACUGGAAGGAUACAAGCAGAGGAGAGACACUCAUCAGCCGGCACUGCUGAGGCAGGAUUUCUGGACCACAAGGAAGGUGGCCACUAAGGGUUGCCCUCUGGCCCCCUGUGACUCUUCUCAUCAGCAUGGCCCAGGAUGCAGCAUCCUGGCAUCCAAGGAGGUGCCACUAAGUAGCUACAAGAUGUGGGGCCUGGCGAGAGGAACCACAAAAGAACGCAGAAAAAAAAAGCAACAAAAAGCCAGUGACAAAGCUGCGUGGAUGGCGGAAGGCGAGCAGGAGUUUGGUGAUGCAGUUUGAAGACCGGGACUGAGACCCCCCCACUGGAGGGGUACGUGGGGUGCAAAAGCAGAAGUGGCACCAGUGGGCUUGACUGCUCCAGAGAGGGGCAUUGCUCCUCAGUGCAGCAACAAGGCGCCUUUAGCCCCCUUGUCGUUUUUGGCCCCAAAAGUGCCACAGUUACACAGGGUGGCCCUGGAGCAAAGUGAGUGCUAAUGCGCUGGGGCAUACGGAAAUCUGGUAUUUCACACAUUUGUCAUGUUAAGGAGAAUUAGGCGUAUCAGAGUAUCUAACAGAUUGGCCUUCCAAUCCCCAUUUAAAACGGGUAAUUGAGUAGCUGAUUUUAAGCUUAUGAUUUUAAGCAGAACACCGGAAGUGGAUUCAGCCAAGUUUGUAAGUUUUGAAAUGUUUCAGAGAACUAAUAGUCAUCAUAUUUAUCAGCUUAUUAAAUUUCAAGAACUAUUUAGGAACCCAGGAAAGUCCUGCUUUUUAGGAUGAGUAUUUAUAAACUUAAGAACACUGGUUAUGUUAAAUUUAUAAAGUUACAUCAAGAUAUUUAAAGAAAUUUAAUUACUUAAGUUAUAAACCCCCUACCCUUGAACAUCGACAUUUAAAUGGACUAGAUUCGUGAGGGGAAUAAUGAAAUUGGUAUGUUAAAUGCUUCAGGAAACACUAGGUUUAAAAAUUUCCAC
Homo sapiens (human) is the source of this 3310-nucleotide long non-coding RNA. Ensembl annotates it as small nucleolar RNA host gene 29. Its record names the gene SNHG29. Lineage: Eukaryota; Metazoa; Chordata; Mammalia; Primates; Hominidae. The record is from Ensembl.